AUUUUCUACACCUACGCCUUGUUGUUCUCACCUGUGUCUCCUUACUAGUUACCCAAUGUGCUGCCAGUCAGUCACAGAUGCUCAGUGUUUCAUACCAACGGGCAAUCUGGGGUCACCGAUUGGCCAAUUCUACGCCACCUCCUCUCCGUCUCCCUCAAACUGAAGAACAUGCACACAGAGAGGCUCCCUCUGUGAGGUGACGGAACUAACCACCAUGCCAUCCUCUGUUUGGGGCUGAUCGCUCUUCAGUGGAGAGGUAACUGUUGUCAUGCACAUUGUUCAGAGAUGACGAGAGCAACGCCACGAGAUCACUGAACCACAUCCCGAAGGUUCAAAAGCUGAGCUGUAAAAGCUUCAAUCCCUGAAGAAGU
This is a long non-coding RNA of Notolabrus celidotus (New Zealand spotty), 371 nucleotides long. RefSeq lists it as uncharacterized. The record is from RefSeq and is a predicted model, not a curated record. NCBI's taxonomy places the organism in Eukaryota, Metazoa, Chordata, Actinopteri, Labriformes, Labridae. The transcript is spliced from 3 exons.